CAAUCAAACCGGGAGAUAGCUGGUUCUCCCCGAAAGCUAUUUAGGUAGCGCCUCGUGAAUUCAUCUCCGGGGGUAGAGCACUGUUUCGGCUAGGGGGCCAUCCCGGCUUACCAACCCGAUGCAAACUGCGAAUACCGGAGAAUGUUAUCACGGGAGACACACGGCGGGUGCUAACGUCCGUCGUGAAGAGGGAAACAACCCAGACCGCCAGCUAAGGUCCCAAAGUCAUGGUUAAGUGGGAAACGAUGUGGGAAGGCCCAGACAGCCAGGAUGUUGGCUUAGAAGCAGCCAUCAUUUAAAGAAAGCGUAAUAGCUCACUGGUCGAGUCGGCCUGCGCGGAAGAUGUAACGGGGCUAAACCAUGCACCGAAGCUGCGGCAGCGACGCUUAUGCGUUGUUGGGUAGGGGAGCGUUCUGUAAGCCUGCGAAGGUGGCCUGUGAGGGUUGCUGGAGGUAUCAGAAGUGCGAAUGCUGACAUAAGUAACGAUAAAGCGGGUGAAAAGCCCGCUCGCCGGAAGACCAAGGGUUCCUGUCCAACGUUAAUCGGGGCAGGGUGAGUCGACCCCUAAGGCGAGGCCGAAAGGCGUAGUCGAUGGGAAACGGGUUAAUAUUCCCGUACUUGGUGUUACUGCGAAGGGGGGACGGAGAAGGCUAUGUUGGCCGGGCGACGGUUGUCCCGGUUUAAGCGUGUAGGUGUGUGUUCCAGGUAAAUCCGGUU
Molecule: ribosomal RNA, 717 nt
Filed under: Salmonella enterica subsp. enterica serovar Mikawasima
Lineage: Bacteria; Pseudomonadati; Pseudomonadota; Gammaproteobacteria; Enterobacterales; Enterobacteriaceae
Description: partial 23S ribosomal RNA
Rfam family: Bacterial large subunit ribosomal RNA
Source: RNAcentral